GCCGGAAGUUCGUGGCGCAGCUGUUUCGUCGUCUUCAGGCGCUGCCGCUGAUUUUUCGGAUUUUCAGUCUCUAAACUGGACCUGGCCUCCUGGCUGGACUAAGAGAAUAUGCUGAGGGUCCAAGAUCUGCAGGACAUUGAGAGCACAGGAGCCUAGAGAGGGCCCUGCUUUGGGUGAAACAGAACAAAUCCCAUCGCUCCUCAGAGCCUGCUCUUGCCCCAAGACUAUGUGGAGUCAAGCUAAGUAUUCCCACUCCAUCAACUGAUCCUUACAUGCCUUGGGCCAUGGUCUCACUGCCUCUGCACAUGCUCCAGCUUAUCCUGUUACCUCUGCCUGGUGAAAUGGCUUUUUCUUUAAUAAAGCAUCCUCUGAACCCUCCCUUUCCUCAGCUGAAAGCCCUCUCCUCAGAUCCUCCUGGCCCACUUCCUCUGUAUCUCAUCUUUGCCCGCAUCACAUUCUCCCUUUAUCAGAUGUAUUUGUAAAUACUUUGCAUUCUCAUCUUAGAGUGUAAGCUCCUUGAGGGUAGGAACUAUCUUUGUCAUCUUUUUAUCCCUACUCAGUGCCUGGCACACAGUAGGUGUUAAGCAUUUGUUGCCAUGACCGACCCUAUGUAUUUCUUUCUUUUUCAUGCUGGUAGUUUUAACUUUUCUCCCCCAGUAUUGAGACUAUAUAGAGUGUGUGUUCCUAGACAAGUUAUCAUACCUCUCUGAGAUGAUGUCUAGGCCUUAGUGUAAAGCUUGCAAAAUACUUGACAUGUUAUCUCAUUAGUGCUCUACAACCAUUGUCCCCAAUUAACAGAUGAGGAAACAGACUCAGAGAGGUUAAUUGUCUUACCAAAGGUCACACAGCUAAUAAGUGGCUGAGAUGAGCUCUCUCUAAAUCCAGCCCUUUCCAUGUGUACCAAGCUGCCUGUGCAUAAACCUCUAAGUGCCAUCGAAAUGGGGACUGUUGUUAUUAGUCUUCCAUUUCCAAGAUGGCGCUCUUCAGAGAGAGAAGUUGAGGAAUUCUAUCCACCCAUUCCACACCACUGUCAAACAGAACAGGCUUCUGAGUUAGGAUGGUUUUGUUUGUUUGUUUGGUGAGGCAAUCAGGGUGAAGUGAC
Vombatus ursinus (common wombat) is the source of this 1102-nucleotide long non-coding RNA. RefSeq lists it as uncharacterized. Lineage: Eukaryota; Metazoa; Chordata; Mammalia; Diprotodontia; Vombatidae. The transcript has 3 exons. The record is from RefSeq and is a predicted model, not a curated record.